This 632-nucleotide long non-coding RNA is filed under the name Callithrix jacchus (white-tufted-ear marmoset). Its description in RNAcentral is "lncRNA (ENSCJAG00000065465.2)". The record is from RNAcentral. Lineage: Eukaryota; Metazoa; Chordata; Mammalia; Primates; Cebidae.
CUUAAAUAUUUCAUACACCUGGGCAGCACCUUGGAAAGCCACUCAAGAAACCCUCCAGUCUUCUCUCUGCCCAAAUCCUCCCCUUCCUUCCAGCCCUGUACAAGCAGAGGAGCCUUCUGGGAUGCGGCAGCCAAUGCUCUGCGUGCCUAAUGCUGUCACUCUGCACCAUGGCAUCCGCGCUGUCUGGCCACAUCAUGGUUAAAAACAUGUCGUUUUCUUCUCUGGUCCCCAAGCGUGAACAGCUGGGCACAGGCUGGUGUCCCAGAGAAGAGAGGAGGAAGGAAAAGCAGCCCUGCAGCCUGUGGAACUGUGAACUGCCCUGCAGUCCAGCCCGUUACCUUCGAGGCUACCCUCAGAUUCCCUCUGAGUGUGAGUUUCCCUGGUGGGGAGCCUAGACCAAGCACAGGAGGCCGCCAUGUGAGGACACAAUGAGAAGGUGGCCAUCUGCAAACCCAGAAGCAGGACCUCCAAAGACACUGGACCUGCCAGCACCCUGAUCUUGGAUUUCUUGGCUCUAAAACUAUAACAAAUAAAUAUGUGUUGUUUAAGUCACCCAGUCCAUGUUAUCUUGCAUAAGCAGCCUGAAUUGACUGAGACACCAUAUCAGACCAAUGAUGGAUCUUUUCUUUGAG